AAGCAUGACGGCGGUCACCAACUUGUCGAACCGGCUGCAGAGUAGGGCAAAUGAGGUGCAGCAGUUAAACUCCCAGCUGGCUCUGCUCCAACGCAUGUAUAAGGAUGCGCGAGCAGAGAUAAGCGUG
This is a non-coding RNA of Camellia sinensis, 127 nucleotides long. The record is from RefSeq and is a predicted model, not a curated record. NCBI's taxonomy places the organism in Eukaryota, Viridiplantae, Streptophyta, Magnoliopsida, Ericales, Theaceae.